UUAAGUUCAGCGGGUAGCCCUACCUGAUUUGAGGUCAAUGUCAAAAUGAAUAUGGGGUGUUGUGAGCAGGCCCAAGUGACCGGCCUGGACGAAACUUAUUACGUCGGGCGUAGGUCACAGGAUCCCACUGAGUCAUUUGAGGCGAGCCUGGGGAGGCAGACGCCCAAGUCCAAUUCCACCGGGGGUUCAAGAAACCCUCG
Molecule: unclassified non-coding RNA, 200 nt
Filed under: Kockovaella sp.
Lineage: Eukaryota; Fungi; Basidiomycota; Tremellomycetes; Tremellales; Cuniculitremaceae
Description: partial internal transcribed spacer 2
Source: RNAcentral